UACGUAGGGGGCAAGCGUUGUCCGGAUUUAUUGGGCGUAAAGAGCGUGUAGGCGGCCAUACAGGUCAGCUGUGAAAACUCGAGGCUCAACCUCGAGACGUCGGUUGAAACCGUAUGGCUAGAGUCCGGAAGAGGAGAGUGGAAUUCCCGGUGUAGCGGUGAAAUGCGCAGAUAUCGGGAAGAACACCCGUGGCGAAGGCGGCUCUCUGGUACGUGACUGACGCUGAGACGCGAAAGCGUGGGGAGCAAACAGG
RNAcentral lists this ribosomal RNA (253 nucleotides) under uncultured bacterium. RNAcentral describes it as "partial 16S ribosomal RNA". It matches the Rfam family "Bacterial small subunit ribosomal RNA", at positions 524 to 776 of the family's 1533-position model. The record is from RNAcentral.